Oncorhynchus masou masou (cherry salmon) is the source of this 1813-nucleotide long non-coding RNA. RefSeq lists it as uncharacterized. NCBI's taxonomy places the organism in Eukaryota, Metazoa, Chordata, Actinopteri, Salmoniformes, Salmonidae. The record is from RefSeq and is a predicted model, not a curated record. The transcript is spliced from 3 exons.
GCACAGUAUAUACGUAUACAUAUGAGAUGAAUAAUGUAGGGUAUGUAAACAUUAUAUUAGGUAGCAUUGUUUGAAGCGGCUAGUGAUAUAUUUUACAUCAUUUCCCAUCAAUUCCCAUUAUUAAACUGGCUGGAGUUGAGUCAGUGUGUUGGCAGCAGUGUUAUUGGUCUGUUAGCUUGCCCGUUCUCCUACCACCUCAUCAACGAGCUGUUUUCACCCACAGGACUUCCGCUGACUGGAUGUGUGUUUGUCGCUCCGUUCUCGGUAAACCCAGGACACUGUCGUGUGUGAAAAGCCCAGGAGGCCAUCCGUUUACUGAGAUACUAGAUCCGGCGCGCCUGGCACCGACGAUCAUAACACGCUCAAUGUUGCUUAGGUCUCUAGUUUUGCCCAUUCUAAGUUCAAUCGAAUAUUAACUGAAUUCCUCGAAGCCUGUCUGCCUGCUUUAUAUAACAAGCCACAUGACUCACUGUCUGUAGGACCGAACCAUUUUCUUCAAAGUGUUGGUGUACCUAAAAAAAUGGCUGGUAUGUCCAUUCAGAAAGGCUACUUCAGGAAACUGUCUGGACUCCAUCUCUUUAAUAAGAAUGAAACGCUCCUGUCAUUAUGUAAUCUUGUAAAAGGCGUGUUUUCAGUAGCUUAGGCUACAUUACUUCUCUCAAUACGGCGUUCUCUCUUUGACGGACAUAUGCCAAUGCCAUCGAAUGGCCGCAGCAGCUGUGUUUGUGACGAAUAUUUAGGGAAAAGUAAAAAAAACAAACAUCAUACUUAGUUUGAAUGGUUUUGUGCAUCAAGAUAGGUUCUGUAUAAAAAAAUGAUGUACAUACAGAAAAGCCAACAGACAAGAACAGGGUUUUUACUAAGAAGCAUAUCCUUGUAAUAAACAAGUGAACAAACAGAAUUUCUGACAGAAGACGAAUGUCUGUGCUGCAACGAAUUAGAUCGCGGACAGUUCUUACUGGAGAGGGUCACUGCAGACCCAAUGGAUCGUGUGUCUGUGACGAGACCAUCGAAGUUUCGUUUCACGUAUGGAUAGAGCUGUGCUGGAGAUGUUCUUCAGAACCUCCAAGAUCAUCUGGUGGCGGCAGCCUAGACCAGCUGGACCAGAAGGGCAAAUGACAAACGAGAUCAAAGCUGGAGAAAUGUUUUGAUGAUGACGAAGAGUAAAGGAAUUCAUUUGGAUGGAGAGUAAAGGAAUGAUGCAUAUUAGUUUUUGAGUAACUAUACCUGUGUGUUGUAGCUAGCUAGCUAAUGUGUGGUUGUGAGAUGUGUUAUGUUCUGCAUCGUGUUGCUACAGUAGGAAUACAGACAGAACACAACGAUUGCCCAUGAAAGGCAUUUUUUUUGUCAUUUAUCUUAGACAAUACAGUUUGGUGGCCUACUGAUUAUUUUUGGAGUGCUAUGUGGUGAGAAGCUAGGCACAGAACACUGAAUAUCUUUGCCUGUGUGUGUUGUUGGGGCCAUUAAAGCAAUUAAUCCCUCACACGAUGGACAGUAUGUUGGAUACAAAUAAAUUGAUGUCUUUAGACGAGAUGUGGAAAGUACAUAACAACAAUCUCCCCGUGUUUCAAAGUGACUCCAAACACCUCAUUGCACCCACCAAAGACACCAUAUGCAAAUAUUCCCGUUUUAAAACGGUAGUAUUUAUUGUAUUUUUAUUCUACGGUAUAUACACUGAGUGUACAAAACUCAGUAUUAGGAAGGUGUUCUUAAAAGUUUUGUACACUCGGUGUAUGUCAUACAACUGUCCCUGCAUACUGCUGUGUAAACUCACCUCGGGUCUCCAGAACAAAUAAACUUUGUUUUGAAUACA